CGCACGGUGGCUUAGUGGUUAGCACGUUCGCCUCACAUCUCCAGGGUCCGGGGUUCGAGUCCCGCCGGAGCCA
Ameiurus melas (black bullhead) is the source of this 73-nucleotide non-coding RNA. The record is from the annotation of a GenBank genome assembly. Lineage: Eukaryota; Metazoa; Chordata; Actinopteri; Siluriformes; Ictaluridae.